GUUGGGAUAGCUCAGC
This 16-nucleotide transfer RNA is filed under the name Actinidia kolomikta. Its description in RNAcentral is "partial transfer RNA-Phe". The record is from RNAcentral. RNAcentral also lists the same sequence under 1 other name. Lineage: Eukaryota; Viridiplantae; Streptophyta; Magnoliopsida; Ericales; Actinidiaceae.